Molecule: ribosomal RNA, 482 nt
Filed under: uncultured bacterium
Lineage: Bacteria
Description: partial 16S ribosomal RNA
Rfam family: Bacterial small subunit ribosomal RNA
Source: RNAcentral
AUUGAACGCUGGCGGCAUGCUUUACACAUGCAAGUCGAACGGUAACAGGCCGCAAGGUGCUGACGAGUGGCGAACGGGUGCGUAAUGCAUCGGAACGUGCCCAGUCGUGGGGGAUAACUACUCGAAAGAGUAGCUAAUACCGCAUACGAUCUAUGGAUGAAAGCGGGGGACCGUAAGGCCUCGCGCGAUUGGAGCGGCCGAUGUCAGAUUAGGUAGUUGGUGGGGUAAAGGCUCUCCAAGCCAACGGUCUGUAGCUGGUCUGAGAGGACGACCAGCCACACUGGGACUGAGACACGGCCCAGACUCCUACGGGAGGCAGCAGUGGGGAAUUUUGGACAAUGGGCGCAAGCCUGAUCCAGCAAUGCCGCGUGCAGGAAGAAGGCCUUCGGGUUGUAAACUGCUUUUGUACGGAACGAAACGGCUCUGGUUAAUACCCGGGGCUAAUGACGGUACCGUAAGAAUAAGCACCGGCUAACUACGUG